This is a long non-coding RNA of Homo sapiens (human), 6327 nucleotides long. RefSeq lists it as uncharacterized. The transcript has 3 exons. The record is from RefSeq and is a predicted model, not a curated record. NCBI's taxonomy places the organism in Eukaryota, Metazoa, Chordata, Mammalia, Primates, Hominidae.
UGAAAGUCAUUUGUGAUUGAGACUCCCAAUGAGAUCAAAGGGGUUCUCAUGUGCACCGAUUUCAGGAAGCAUUUAACAAGUAUUUAUUGAGUGGCUCCUGUGUCCUAGUCAUGGUUUAUCCAUAUGUACAUUUUGGUACGUGAAAAAUCUACCUGAUAAAAGCAAUCAAAGACAGAUGUCAGCUAAAUCGAGGUGCUUAAAUUUCUUUGUGUUCCAGCUAAUGGGCAGUGUGAUGUGGUGGAAACUGUCCCGGUAGGAAAAACCUAGCUGUGGGCCUUGUGCACAUCCCUUCCUUCAUCUACAAUCUCAGGGCAUUGGCCUGAUAAUCUGGAAAAUCUCUGCCCAUAUUCUAUAAUUCUACUGCAGUCCAGAAUGCAUAAUUCUGCCACACGUCAAAAGACUACAAGAAAGAAUUUGUAAUUAAUGGACAACUGUGGGAUAUUUGUUUCCCUUCUGCAUUAGAAAUAUAAUCAAAGAUUCUACAUUUUAGGAGAGAGAGAGUCUGGCUGGCAAAGUUUGCCUCAGCCAAGUGCCUGCCCCUUUGAUGUAUCCACGCAGUGAGGGUCGGAAUCUGGCCACUGGAGCCUGGAGGAGACGCCUGAGCUUCCACAGCAAAAGAGCAGGUGGACAUAAGCCAUGACAGUAAUGAGGGAGUGCAGAAAUAGCACCAGGAAGACAAAGGCUCUGGAUUCAAGGCUGCGAUUGGUGAACCAAAGCAGAAGAAGCAUCAACUAUACAACAACACAAAUCAUCAGGAACAAAUAAUUUGAUUCAUUGUGGCAGACUUACUAAAUUAAGGAAGUGAAUCAUAUUGGAAUACAGAAAAAUUCAAAGCAUUCAGAUGCACUGAAAGUUAAAUGUAAUUUUCAUAGAAUUAAAUAUGUGGUAGAUUAUUUUUAACAAUGCCAGAAUUAUGUUUUGUCUUUUACAUAAGCUUUAUUAAAACAACCCCAUAUGCAAAUCAUUAACAUGAAAUCGAUGGAGCUAUUCAGGUCUCUUUUAGGUAUGACUUCCUAGGACUCAGCUUGCAGCCAAAAUUUCCAGAAACAUUUCAUUUUAGUGACUGCUACCCAUUAUAACACUGGUAAUUAAUUCUUUUGGAGUUACUUCAGAUUAAGUUAAAUCACAUAAAAUUCAGCUCUUGAAGAAGAAUAAUGACAUUCUCAAAAAUAUACUAAUAAAUAUUGCCUCUAAAUAAGAUGACCUAAUAUCUCAAAGAUACUGUUAAUAUUAAUAUUGACAAAGGGGGAAAAUGUACUAGUAUAUAAUAACAGCUUUAAAAACCUUUAUAUAUAUAUUGUUCCCAUAAUAUUACUUAUAAGAGUUUAUCUUAAGGCAAGAUUUGGAGAUUGUCUUAGAAAAUAUUACUGGUAAUUUAUUUGCUAAACUGGAGAUUUUGUUCAUAAAUGUUUGUAGAAAAGGUCUUGAAUUCAAUAGAGAAGUUCCAUCCCUUAUUUUUAUAUUUGAGUCUCAAGAUCUUAUGGAAUAUCAAAGGACAGAAGAGCAUAUCAUCAAAUUACACGGUAGGAUAAGCAAGCACUUGCUAUAGAAGGGAUUGUGUAGGGAAGCUCUCCUCCCUCAAUUUGGGGAGUAUUUCUGUCUAUCUCUCAUUAUCUCCUUUUUCUUUUUUUUCUUUCUAUAUUCCUUUACUCAUUUCUUUCAUCUUUUUUCCUUCUUUCUAAAUGAUUUCAAAACCUAGGGAGAAUAAAAAAUUUAUAAUACUUUUUGAUUUUGAUAAGGAUGCAGAUAGGAACUACUGGUCACAAAUUAAUUAGGUUAUAUUUAAGGACUGUAAACAGAACACUGUACACAUUUCUACACUUCCAGGGAUUUGAAUUAAGGAGUAUUUGAUUCUUGGUAGAGCACUGUCUUAAACAUGAAAACUUCCUUAAGCUCACUAGGCUGAAUGUUUUGGGAAAUAAAUAUGUGUCUACUCAGUCACAGACCUGAAAAAAUGCACUAGCUAUUGUAACUUUUGUGGGAUUAGAAGAGUCUCAUAGAUUUGCCAAGUUAUCUGCUUUAAGACACAAUUAUUGUCCAGAGGUUGAGUUCUCAAAGCUUUGACAUUGGCACAUGGAAAUUUCCCUCUGAAAAAGAUAGCAAUGAGUUUACUCUGGAGUGGGUGGGUGGAUAAAGAAGUUGGGUUGAAUCCAUUGGCUAAAGGAUCUCUCUCUCUUCUUUUUUUCUCCUCUUUCUCUCCAUUUCGUCUUCCUUUUCUCUCCCACUCUCAUUUUCCCCCUACAAGUAGGUUUUAGAAUUCAUUCAGUUGUCUCAAACUAUUUUUAAGUAAAAAGCUGCAGCAUAGGAAUUCAACUCAAAAGAGCUUGGAAAUUUUGGGUGAAGGCAGGAAAUCCUGCUUGAGCCUUGGCCUCUGCUUAUGGCAAAGUUCCAGGAAGAAAUAGGAUGCUUGUAAGAGUGUUCAGCCCAGAAUACUUGGAUUUUGUAACCUUGACUGUGAUCUUGGUGGCCAUAGGAAAUUUUAAGUUAAACUCUUUGAGGAAAGACAGUGGGAAAUUAUUGUCCUUACAAUACUGAAAGUACAGGUAAAAAAAAAAAAAUCUGUCUACAGUUACAGAAUCUCUUGUGACUUUAAUUCUGGCAAUUUUAAAGAAAUGUUGGAAUUGACCCACCAAGAAGCACUUUGUGUUCAGAUAGCACUAAUAGAGAUGUGGCUUACUUCUUUCUUCUUUUUUCACUUGAACCUGGGGAUUCAGGAAACAUCAUGUUGAUCUACAGUGUUUUAUAAGUUUAUCUUGUAGUACCUAAAGUGUUACCUCUUUUGAAACACUUCCCUAAAGUGAUGCUACUGAUGUCAUCCCCUGAUGACAACAAUAAUAAUAUAGUCAUUAUGGAAACUUUGAAACAUACAGAAAUAGGUUAGAUAAAUAAAAAUGAUAAACAAAAGUCACUCAUAACUCCAGGUUGUUAAAUAAAAAGUGAGAUUUCAGCAUAUUUUCCCUCUUUGAUGUUUAGUAAGGCUUAUUUUUUCAUGAGUUUACUAUAUGUUUAUUUGCAUAUCUGUGAAAUAAUUGUCUGUUAACUUACAUUUUUCUGUUGUAUUUUGUAUUCAAAGUUUUCUCAUUGUUUUGUAAUGACUCUUUAAAUAUUAGGAAUAUUCUUUUGUGGAGAGAGACAUCAGUAAGACAGCAGAACAGAAAGUUCUCUGUUAAUAUCCCCCAACAGAAACAGUGAUUUGGCAGCUACCCAAAUGGACAAAAAUGUCUUUGUGUGAGCUUUGAGAUCCAGACUGGAGGUUUUGAAAUCGCUAUGGAGUCCACAACCAAGGAGGGCUGUUUUGAGAAGGCAGUUCUGCACCCAUGUGGCAAAUUCACUGUCCAUGGUCCAAUAUGCAGACUUUGAAACAUCAUAUUUCCCUGUGGACUCAGCUAGAGCCCCAUUUGACCUUGGUCUUCCACCGGGAUCAUUCACCAAGGGACCCAGGAGGAGUCACACUUACCUGUGCCUCUGGUAAUAAGCCCACUGAUCUCAUUCCCAGUUAUAAACUCUGAAGUGGUUCAUGAAUCAGCUCUAGGCCUUUCAGCCACGGUCUUGGAGGAGUCCUGUCCACAAAUAACCUGGCAGAAGACACACUUGUCUGUGCCCCUAGAGACAGGCUGUCUGACUGUGGAUUCUGAAACAGCCCUUUAGUUUGGCUCCAUUCCCCAUUUGCCACAGUCUUGGAGCAGUCCUGCUAACAGAGGGACCAACCAGCCAAGACUUGCAUGUCCAUGCCCAUGGAGGCAGGCCCAGCAACUUUGGACUGAGUUUAGAUCCUAAAAUGGCCUUGUGACACAGUUCCAGUCCCUCUUAGUCACAGCCUGGGGCCAGUGCUACUCAUCCAGUGGCCCACCUAGUGACCUGGUUUGAAUCAUCCCACGGAUAAGCAGGAUCCACACUCAUCCGCACACUUAGUAGCAGGCCUGCUGUCUGUGGACCCAACUGUAGGUCUGAAAAUAGAUCCUUGUCCCAGUGCCAGAUCUACUGAUCAAAGUCCUGGAAGCAGUCCAGUCCAUUCAGGGACCAGAGAGAAUCCAGUAACAGGCAUGCCAACUACAAAAUAAAAUGUAGACCCAGGAACAGCCACAAGACCUAGCUCCAACCCCACUUGACUGCAAUUUCAGAGGCAAUUCCAUCAGCCUGGGGAUCUAACAGGAGAGGGUCUUUACCUGGCAAAAAUAGUCUGUGAAGACAAGAACAGUGUUUGUUUCUUCAAAUGCAAAGACAUAGGUGCAAGAAUACAUGGAUCAUAAACAGUCAGGCCAACAUGACACCAUAAAGUAAACUAAUAAAGCUCCAGUAAUCAACCCUAAAGAAAUAGAAAUCUAUAAAUUGCCUGACAAAAAAUUCAAAACAAUCAACUAAUGAAGUUCAAUGAUAUGUAACAGAAUACAGGCAGACAAAUAAAUGAAAUCAGAAAAACAAUGCAUGAAUAAACUGAGAAGUUUAAUAAAGAAAUAUAAACAAUAAGAAAGACCUAAAGAGAAAUUCUGGAGCUGAAAUAUACAAUGAAAAAUCUGAAAAGUGCAAUAUAGAGUUUUAACUGCAGAUUUGAUCAUGCAGAAGAAAGAAUCAGUGAACUUAAAGACAGAUCAUCUGAAAUUGGCCAGCUAGAGGGACAAAAAGAAAAAAGAAUGAAAGAGAAUAAAUAAAACAUAUGAGAUCUAUGGAACACCAUCAAAUAAGCAAAAAAUAUCCAUUAUAGGAGUUGCUGAAUGGGAAAGGAGAAAGAAAGGAGCAGAAAACUUAUUUAAACAAAUAAUGGCUGAAAACUUCCCAAAUAUUGGGAGGUAUAUGAAUACCCAGAUUUAUGAAGCUCCCAGGACCCCAAACAAGAUCAAUGCAGAGAAGAUGGCCCUGGAACACACUAUAAUCAAAUUGUCAAAAGUGAAAGACAAAGAGAAUUUUGAAAGCAGCAAGAAAAGAGCUAGUUGUUACAUACGAGGCAGUGGCCAUAAGUCUGUCAGUGGAUUUCUCUGCAGGCCAGGAAGGUGUAAGAUAAUACAUUCAAAGUUACAAAAUUAAUAGAACAACUGGCAGCCAAGAAUACUACACCCAUAAAGCUGUCCUUUAGAAAUGAAGAAGAGCUAAGGAGAUAUUUAGACAAACAAAAGCUGAAGUUCAUCACUUCUAGAUGUGUCUUACAAGAAAUGCCAAAGAAAGUGCUUCAAGUAGAAACAAAAGGACACUAAUGAAAAUAUGAAAACAUAGGACAGUAUAAAACUCACUGGUAAAGGUAAAUAUAUAGCCAAAUUUAGAAUACUGUAAUACUGUCAUAGUAGUAUGUAAAUUUUAACUUUAGUAUAACAGUUAAAACACAAAUAUUUAAGAAGCUAUAGCCACAAUAACUUGUUAAUGAAUAUACAAUAUAAAAAGAUAUAAAGAGUAACAUAAAUAGCACAAAUGUGGUGGGAGAGAGAGAAAAACUACAGUUUUUGUAUGUGAUUUAAAUUAAGUUGUUAUUAGCUUAAAAUAUACUGUUACAACUCUAAGAUGUUUUAUGUAAGCCUAAUGGUAACCACAAAGCAAAAUAUUUAGUAGAUACACAAAAGAUAAAGAGAAAGGAAUCAACUCAUUCCGCUACAAAAAAUCAACCUGUCAUAAAAUAAGAUAGAGAGAAAGAAAGAAACACAGGAACUACAAAACAGUGAAAAAACAAGCAAUAAAAUGGCAAUAGUAAGUCCUCACUUCUCAAUAAUUACUGUAAAUGUAAAUUGGUUAAACUAUCCAAUCAAAAAACACAGAGUAGCUGAAUGGAAAAAGAAUCCAACAACAGCUUGCCUACAGGGUGCUGACUCUGAUUUUAAAAACACAUAAUGGCUGAAAAUGAAGAGAUGAAAAAAUAUAUUUCAUACAAAUGGGAAACAAAAGAGAGCAUAGAUGAUUAUACUUUAUCAAACAAAGUAGACUUUAAGUCAAAAAUCUGUUACAAGAUAAAAAGAAGGUCACUGUAUAAUGAUAAAGGGGUCAAUUUUUCGAAAGAAUGUAACAAUUGUAAAUAUAUAUGCACUCAACGUGGAAGCAUCUAAAGAAAAAGCAAAAUUAGGAAAAUUGAUGAGAAAAUAGAUAGUAAUGCAAUAAUAAUAAGGGACUUCAAUACCUACCCACUUUUAGCAAUGGAGAGAUUAUCAAGACAGAAAAUCAAUAAGGAAAUUGAAGAAUUGAAUAAUAUUAUAGUCCAAAAGGACAUAACAGAAUACACAGAACAUUCCAUCCAACAGCAGCAGAAUAUGCAUUAUUUUCAGGUACACACAUAAUAUCCUCAGAAUAGAUCAUGUGUUGGGUGACAAAAAUGUCUUAACAAAUUUAAAAUAUUAAAAUCAUGUCAAG